This 72-nucleotide transfer RNA is filed under the name Pyrrhoderma lamaoense. Its description in RNAcentral is "tRNA-Arg". It matches the Rfam family "tRNA". Rfam says of the family: Transfer RNA (tRNA) molecules are approximately 80 nucleotides in length. The record is from RNAcentral. Lineage: Eukaryota; Fungi; Basidiomycota; Agaricomycetes; Hymenochaetales; Hymenochaetaceae.
GGGAUGUUAACUUAACGGUAAAGUGUUAUAUUCCUAAUAUAAUUUAUAUUGGUUCAAUUCCAAUACCUUCCA